This 459-nucleotide ribosomal RNA is filed under the name uncultured bacterium. Its description in RNAcentral is "partial 16S ribosomal RNA". It matches the Rfam family "Bacterial small subunit ribosomal RNA", at positions 338 to 795 of the family's 1533-position model. The record is from RNAcentral.
CCUACGGGAGGCAGCAGUGAGGAAUAUUGGUCAAUGGACGAGAGUCUGAACCAGCCAAGUAGCGUGAAGGAUGACUGCCCUAUGGGUUGUAAACUUCUUUUAUAAGGGAAUAAAACGAGGCACGUGUCCCGCUUUGCGUGUACUUGAUGAAUAAGCAUCGGCUAACUCCGUGCCAGCAGCCGCGGUAAUACGGAGGAUGCGAGCGUUAUCCGGAUUUAUUGGGUUUAAAGGGAGCGUAGAUGGGUUGUUAAGUCAGUGGUAAAAGUUUGCGGCUCAACCGGUAGCCGCAGUCAAAACUGCGGUUCUUGAGUGAAGGAGAGGCAGGCGGAAUUCGUAGUGUAGCGGUGAAAUGCGUAGAUAUUAGGAGGAACUCCAGUGGCGAAGGCGGCGUGCUGGGGUUUAACUGACGCUGAGGCUCGAAAGUGUGGGGAGCAAACAGGAUUAGAUACCCCUGUAGUC